CCAAAAACAACAAAAAAAAUCUUACAAAA
This 29-nucleotide small RNA is filed under the name Arabidopsis thaliana (thale cress). Its description in RNAcentral is "ATSL010970". Lineage: Eukaryota; Viridiplantae; Streptophyta; Magnoliopsida; Brassicales; Brassicaceae. The record is from RNAcentral.